CAUUUCGCACAAAGCGCUGCUUCAUCUGCGCAACAUAUCACCGUAGCUGGAGCUCUCUCACACACAUCGCACUGAAUCUUCAUCUUCCUUAAAAACCCCCUGCUUUUCAAUCCUUUUUCUCUAAUUUAGCAGAUACCCACUUUGUUUUUUCAACUACUGCAGUGACCUUUCUCUUAGGGAGAUUCGGAACAUGGCCAUGAAAGUGAAAGUGGAGAUAAACCUUUCAAGAAUCAAGAGAUACCCACUAUCAAUGCCUGAAAAUUGCUUGAAAUACAACAAAUAAUGUAAGCCAAACCAAAA
This 300-nucleotide unclassified non-coding RNA is filed under the name Hevea brasiliensis (rubber tree). The record is from RNAcentral. Lineage: Eukaryota; Viridiplantae; Streptophyta; Magnoliopsida; Malpighiales; Euphorbiaceae.